GGUGUGGUUUCAAAAAUUUUAGUUUUCACACUCCCUCACUCCCUCCUAAUUCACCCCGCCCAAUUUUCCUCUUCCUCAAAACCCCCAAAAUUCCCCACAUUCCUGAAACAAAUUCAACCCCACCAACUCACCAAGUUCAGUGUGAAUCCUUUCUGAGCCCUGGUUCUGAUCUAUACAGUAUCUCCACCACAACCACUACGAAUUCCAACUUCCACAAAACCCUAAUCAAUUUUGGUUACCAUCAAACCCUAACGAUUGUUUCGUUUCGUAGAUGGGACGCAAGGAGAAGCGCAUGAUUUUGAGUUCGUACCUGCAACGUGCUUAUAAAAUAUCUGAUGGGAUCGUGAAGAAGAGGAAUAAAAUCUCAAUCGAGUUCGUUGGCUUCUGAUUCAUGGAUAUUUGGGGUCGGAUUCAUUGGCUUCUGAUUCAUUGGGUGUAAGGAGAAGCGCAUGAUUUUGAGUUCGUUCCUUCUUCAUACAUGUGCUGCAGGAUGACAUGCUUUUUCAAGCAGAGCUAAAUUCUGUCCAGUUUCACUGCUGCUGAUCUUAAAGAUCUCACUGCUGCUGAUCUUAAAGAUCUUGUUGAGCAAUACAAGGACGUGUAUGUCGAAGCAAAGGGUGAAAAGUUUUCUACAGAUCCAAAGAAACAGCUUGAGUUGGCGGUGAAUGUGGUUUUUGAUUCGUGGGACAGCCCGAGGGCCAAUAAGUACAGGAGUAUUAACCAGAUAACUGGGUUAAAGGGGACCGUGGUUAACAUUCAAUGCAUGGUGUUUGGCAACAUGGGGGACACUUCAGGAACCGGUGUUCUUUUCACUAGGAACCCAAGCACGGGUGAAAACAAGCUUUAUGGGGAGUUUUUGAUCAAUGCUCAGGGAGAGGAUGUUGUUGCUGGGAUCAGAACAUCACAAUAUUUGGUGACCAUGGAGACUUGCAUGCCGGAUGCAUACAGAGAGCUUGUGGAGAACUAUGAGAUCUUAGAGAGACACUAUAAAGAUAUGAUGGAUAUCGAAUUCACAGUUCAAGAAAACAGACUUUGGAUGUUGCAAUGCCGGACAGGGACACGUACCGGCAAAGGUGCAGUGACAAUUGUAGUAGAAAUGGUGAAUGAAGGGUUAAUUGAUACUAAAACGGCAAUUAAGUGGGUCGAAACUCAACAUCUAGAUCAACUUCUUCAUCCACAGAAGCACUUAUAUAUGCAAGAGAAGAGGCCUCCCGUAGUGAUGUUGCAGCUAAAAAUUAAGUUGAUUCAAAUGCCAAGCCUGAAUCAGAUGAUAAUGACAGUCUGAUGACGUGCGUGAACUUUUAUAUUUGGUUUAAGGUUUUGGUCCUAAACAUAAGUACUUUCGUUACUUAUAACUGUUCCUAUACAGGAGGAUGCCAAGGAUUCAUCUGAGGCGAAAGUACCUUUGUUACUUAUUUUUGUAAGAGAAGAGGCCUCCCAUGGUGAUGAUGUAAAUGAAGAUUUGUGUAAUGAUUAGUGUUGAAAAUCAAAUCUAUAGAAAAUGGAUAAACAAAUGUUGGCAAGUCAACCAAAUGUUACUCAUUUUGUUACCUAUGUUUAUUCUGAAACUGAUGUUGUACGUGAUGAAUUUGAUACAGGUCAGUCCAACGUCAUUUUACUUGGCAAGGAGCUAAUCAACCCGCAUGCAGAUAAAACAUCACGCGACUUUGUUUUGUAAAGGAUAUUUGAUUGGCUAAGACAAAAGGGCUAGCUAAUGGCCAAACUGAAAACUGGAAGAGUUUUUCAAGGAAUGAGAAAAGGUUAUGUUGCAAGUGCUUCUAGGAGUGAUGUUUGUUGAGACAAAAAGUGUUGUUGCAAGUGCUGCUAGGAUUGAUGCAACUUUAUGUAUUUAGUAUUCAAAUUGACAACUUAUGUAUGGAUUUUGGUUUACUAUUGUUAAUAUUAUUAGUUUUGUUUUUUA
This is an RNA transcript of Helianthus annuus (common sunflower), 1921 nucleotides long. It is a transcript of the gene named pyruvate, phosphate dikinase, chloroplastic, with no coding region annotated. The transcript is spliced from 7 exons. NCBI's taxonomy places the organism in Eukaryota, Viridiplantae, Streptophyta, Magnoliopsida, Asterales, Asteraceae. The record is from RefSeq and is a predicted model, not a curated record.